This is an unclassified non-coding RNA of Otolemur garnettii (small-eared galago), 299 nucleotides long. Its record names the gene 7SK. It matches the Rfam family "7SK RNA". Rfam says of the family: 7SK was discovered as an abundant small nuclear RNA in the mid-70s but a possible function has only recently been suggested. Two independent studies have found that 7SK RNA binds the CDK9/cyclin T complex (known as elongation factor P-TEFb). Lineage: Eukaryota; Metazoa; Chordata; Mammalia; Primates; Galagidae. The record is from Ensembl.
AGAUGUGAGGGCCAUCUCGCUCAGAUUAUCUGUCACCCCAUUGAUUUCCAGGGUUGAUUUGGCUGAUCUAGUAGGCUAGGUGUGUGUCCCCUUCCUCCUUCACCACCCUAUGUUCAUCUUUCCUGAAGCUGCCUACUCGAUCUGAAGAGGAUGACCAGAAUUCCCCACUAGGGGACCAUUGUGUAGUCAAGGAUAUAUUAAUAGCUACACUGCCCAGCUAGAACCUCCAAACAAGCUCUCAAAUACAUAUGCUUAAUAAAUGCUUCACCAGGAACUACAAAAAUAUUUAAGAGAAGUUU